This is a long non-coding RNA of Cyclopterus lumpus (lumpfish), 821 nucleotides long. RefSeq lists it as uncharacterized. The transcript has 3 exons. The record is from RefSeq and is a predicted model, not a curated record. NCBI's taxonomy places the organism in Eukaryota, Metazoa, Chordata, Actinopteri, Perciformes, Cyclopteridae.
GUCGCCGCUUCACUCCCCGGUGAACUACUCCGCUCCGCCGGUCCGCAACUUGAUCACAGACCGCUGGAGUAAUGUCGUUAAAAGCAGCGAGGAAGUCUGCUGCAGCAGCGGCGACUUUAAUCUCUCCGCACAGCAGUGGAAGUUGCUAUUGUCACCGAGUCCAGGCACUUGACAGGUAACAGCGCUCGGCAGAAGCGAAAACUCGCAAACUGGGGAAUAAAAACCGAGGGAUGGCUGAGCACGUAUGCGUGUUGUUGCCACAGAGGCAGCUGGCGUCACUGUUACCGCUGACUUCCCAUAAGUGUAGCUGAGCCUUCGGGGACCCUGGGAGUCAUGGAAGCCAGCGGCACCACCCAAGAGACGCCUCGUCUCUGGUGUAAUGACCUGAAAUCAACAGACUUGUUCACGGCAGCCCAAAGGAAGACCUUCUUAAAUACGGCCUUGGAUGGCUUUUAUUGACCUUUGAGUUGAACAUGGACCAUGGCUUAUUAUUUUGUCAGCUCUGUAGAGAUAAUUAGACUCAAAGAUUCAGACAUUCAGUGGCAUAGCAGUUUUAAUAUAAUCAUCUUUUGCUCUUUGCCAUCCUGUUCGUUAGUCUCACUAUGAGAGCAGAAGAUGAUCAUUUCCUCAAAUGAUUUAGCAAUCAUAAUAUUGUAAUCAUAAAUCUGUAAUAUUGUGUCGGACUAAAGCUUGCAAGAUUCCCUCUAAACACACUGAAAGCAGAGGAAGGCACAUUAAUGAUGACAAAAGGAAAAUUCCAAUCCAUCAAUUUAGUUUGUAAGACUUGGUCAAACAGUACAGCAAAAAUUUUAGAUGAAAUA